This 362-nucleotide unclassified non-coding RNA is filed under the name plant metagenome. RNAcentral's name for it is "partial contains small subunit ribosomal RNA, internal transcribed spacer 1, and 5.8S ribosomal RNA". The record is from RNAcentral.
UUUCCGUAGGUGAACCUGCGGAAGGAUCAUUGUCAGAAUUGAUUGUCGAGGAGGAAAGAACGGGCAGUUCAUAACUCGUUAUGUUCGGUCCCUCUUGUUUCCUCCUUGCAUACAUCGGUGACCUAUCGUUGCCUGCACCAAGCUGCAUGGGCAAACACGCUUUUGCCCGCUUGCACUUGGUGUGGAAGCCCGUUGUAGGGCUGUGCGGUGCUCCGGCACUUCACGGCCCGAAGCGGGGGGCUGGGGCCUAACAGUCUUGGUUCUUAUCAAACCUUACAAACCACAUCACUAAAGUAAAUGGCUGCCGGCUUUGCUGGUGGCUCAAACAACAACAACUCUCAACAACGGAUAUCUUGGCUCUC